UGCGCAGGCGGCUCGUUAAGUCGGAUGUGAAAUCUCACAGCCUAACUGUGAUAGGUCAUUCGAAACUAGCGGGCUCGAGGACUGGAGAGGAGACUGGAAUAGUCGGUGUAGCGGUGAAAUGCGUAGAGAUCGACUAGAACACCGGUGGCGAAGGCGGGUCUCUGGACAGUUCCUGACGCUGAGGACGAAAGCCAGGGGACGCGAAACG
RNAcentral lists this ribosomal RNA (208 nucleotides) under uncultured bacterium. RNAcentral's name for it is "partial 16S ribosomal RNA". It matches the Rfam family "Bacterial small subunit ribosomal RNA", at positions 568 to 775 of the family's 1533-position model. The record is from RNAcentral.